GGCCAACUGUUCUGCUCAAGAGAUGUGGAAAAGCAUGGUCCAACUAUUCUCCAGAGAGCACAGCCCUUCGGCAGGGGAGAGAGCCCGAUUCUAGUCACCAGCAGAUCUUGCAGCUGCUGGCCUGUUUGGAAAAGAGAGUGGAGGGCACAGAAGGCAUUCUCAAGGUGCCCAGAUGCCAGGCCAGGGUCAGGGUGCUAGGUUGGCUUCCUCCAACUCACCAGGGCUGUGUCGCCUCCCUUCACCCUGGCAGGUGGGCUAAGCCAGGAGAGGAUCCAGCCAGGUUGUCUCUUGGACGCCCAGGUGUGAAAAGUGAAUGACAGGUGAGGCCUCACCCCCAGUUCUGCGACGAGGCAUCAAGACU
Non-coding RNA from Marmota flaviventris (yellow-bellied marmot), 361 nucleotides. Lineage: Eukaryota; Metazoa; Chordata; Mammalia; Rodentia; Sciuridae. The record is from RefSeq and is a predicted model, not a curated record.